RNAcentral lists this ribosomal RNA (550 nucleotides) under uncultured bacterium. RNAcentral's name for it is "bacterial SSU rRNA". It matches the Rfam family "Bacterial small subunit ribosomal RNA", at positions 355 to 896 of the family's 1533-position model. The record is from RNAcentral.
UAGGGAAUCUUCGGCAAUGGGGGGAACCCUGACCGAGCAACGCCGCGUGAGUGAAGAAGGUUUUCGGAUNGUAAAGCUCUGUUGUUAAGGAAGAACGUGUGUGAGAGUGGAAAGUUCACACAGUGACGGUACUUAACCAGAAAGGGACGGCUAACUACGUGCCAGCAGCCGCGGUAAUACGUAGGUCCCGAGCGUUGUCCGGAUUUAUUGGGCGUAAAGCGAGCGCAGGCGGUUAGAUAAGUCUGAAGUGAAAGGCAGUGGCUCAACCAUUGUAGGCUUUGGAAACUGUUUAACUUGAGUGCAGAAGGGGAGAGUGGAAUUCCAUGUGUAGCGGUGAAAUGCGUAGAUAUAUGGAGGAACACCGGUGGCGAAAGCGGCUCUCUGGUCUGUAACUGACGCUGAGGCUCGAAAGCGUGGGGAGCGAACAGGAUUAGAUACCCUGGUAGUCCACGCCGUAAACGAUGAGUGCUAGGUGUUAGGUCCUUUCCGGGACUUAGUGCCGCAGCUAACGCAUUAAGCACUCCGCCUGGGGAGUACGAACGCAAGGUUG